Molecule: ribosomal RNA, 509 nt
Filed under: uncultured bacterium
Lineage: Bacteria
Description: bacterial SSU rRNA
Rfam family: Bacterial small subunit ribosomal RNA
Source: RNAcentral
GAUGAACGCUAGCGGCAGGCUUAACACAUGCAAGUCGAGGGGCAGCACGUCUUCGGAUGGUGGCGACCGGCGCACGGGUGAGUAACGCGUAUGCAAUCUACCUUUUACAGGGGCAUAGCCCGGGGAAACCCGGAUUAAUAUCCUAUAGUACCAUUAUAUAGCAUUAUAUUAUGGUUAAAGUUUCGGCGGUAAAAGAUGAGCAUGCGUCCUAUUAGCUUGAUGGUAAGGUAACGGCUUACCAUGGCUAUGAUAGGUAGGGGUCCUGAGAGGGAGACCCCCCACACUGGUACUGAGACACGGACCAGACUCCUACGGGAGGCAGCAGUGAGGAAUAUUGGACAAUGGGCGGCAAGCCUGAUCCAGCCAUGCCGCGUGCAGGAAGACGGCCCUAUGGGUUGUAAACUGCUUUUAUACGGGAAGAAACACCCCUUCGUGAAGGGACUUGACGGUACCGUAUGAAUAAGGAUCGGCUAACUCCGUGCCAGCAGCCGCGGUAAUACGGAGGAUCC